CCCSCSCCUGCGGCRGCUUACACAUGCAGUCGGCGCCCCGCAGGGGAGCGGCAGAGGGUGAGUAACGCGUGGGAACGUACCAUUUGCUACGGAAUAACUCAGGGAAACUUGUGCUAAUACCGUAUGUGCCCUUCGGGGGAAAGAUUUAUCGGCAAAUGAUCGGCCCGCGUUGGAUUAGCUAGUUGGUGGGGUAAAGGCUCACCAAGGCGACGAUCCAUAGCUGGUCUGAGAGGAUGAUCAGCCACACUGGGACUGAGACACGGCCCAGACUCCUACGGGAGGCAGCAGUGGGGAAUAUUGGACAAUGGGCGCAAGCCUGAUCCAGCCAUGCCGCGUGAGUGAUGAAGGCCCUAGGGUUGUAAAGCUCUUUCACCGGUGAAGAUAAUGACGGUAACCGGAGAAGAAGCCCCGGCUAACUUCGUGCCAGCAGCCGCGGUAAUA
RNAcentral lists this ribosomal RNA (441 nucleotides) under Brucella melitensis. RNAcentral's name for it is "bacterial SSU rRNA". It matches the Rfam family "Bacterial small subunit ribosomal RNA", at positions 34 to 525 of the family's 1533-position model. Lineage: Bacteria; Pseudomonadati; Pseudomonadota; Alphaproteobacteria; Hyphomicrobiales; Brucellaceae. The record is from RNAcentral.